CUCAGAAAAUCACCAAUUUUCAA
RNAcentral lists this small nuclear RNA (23 nucleotides) under Arabidopsis thaliana (thale cress). RNAcentral's name for it is "snRNA_07725". Lineage: Eukaryota; Viridiplantae; Streptophyta; Magnoliopsida; Brassicales; Brassicaceae. The record is from RNAcentral.